RNAcentral lists this small nuclear RNA (104 nucleotides) under Pelusios castaneus (West African mud turtle). Lineage: Eukaryota; Metazoa; Chordata; Testudines; Pelomedusidae. The record is from RNAcentral.
GUGCUCACUUUGGCAGCACAUAUACUAAAGUUAGAAGGAUACAGAGUAGAUUAACAUGGACCCUGUUCAAGGAUGACACAGCAUAAGACUCUAUGAGAAUUGCU